CUCAAUUUGCUUUAGUUAUGCAUUGUCAGUUGUACAGUACACGUCAUCUGAUCCCAAGUAGCAUUAUGCAUUGACAACUUGUACAAAAUGCAAAGUUAUGGGGUUUGUAUACGUGUUUUAAUGUCCUGUUGACUAUAUGUUUUGUAGCUGUUCACAUGAAUUUAAUGUUCGGCGAUUAUAAUUAUAGAUACAUAUAAAUUAAUUUUGGAAGGCCAAAGUGAAUAGUAAAAUGAGCUUUGGUGGUUGAGAUAUUGACCACAAUAAUUUGUUAUAUGAGCAGUUUUGGUCCCUUAAAUUAUGGUUUGGCUUCUGAUGGUAGGGUUGGAACUGUGAAGCCGAUACACAUGCUUCCUUCUAUUUCCCACCGCCUUCAUGGAUACGUGUCCUUGUAGAAAAUGAUGGAGGCUCCACGUUUCUUCCACUGAUUAAUUCUCAAUGUUCUCGAUCUUCUAUACCUCAAAUCACACCCCCACUUCACCUUUCUUUCUUCUGAAUGAAAUCGAGACACAUACCUUGUUUUACUCCCUCUCAUGAUCGACUACGUCGAUUGAUGUUUAUUUUGUUCCAAUUUUUUUGGGGUUGAUUUCUUUUGCUUCAUCUCUCAUUUUUCUCUAUUUCUCCGUUUGUUCAUCUUUUGUGUUUGAUUUUGCCCUUUCCCUAAGAUAUAACAAUCGUUUGAGUUCUAGGGAUGGAUUCGAAACGAAAUAGAAAGCAAACGAUUAUCCUAUGUUGCUGUGUUAACAGAAACAAAAAAAAGGGAAAGUUAGCCGCCGAUGCAGAAAGAAGCAACCCCGUGCUGUAUCGAUACUGUUCAACCCUAAUUUCUUCAAGUCUUCAUUCUACGACAUAUUUCUGAGAGAUAUUUACUGAAGAGUAACCAGCUGAGAACAACCAAGUCGGAACUACACUCUCGGAGUUUAGUUUAUUAUUUAUGCUUAGAACAUAAAUUACUUGUAAUGUAAAACAAUAUUUGUUUUCGAACAAUGUAUGUUUUAAUUUA
Molecule: non-coding RNA, 1000 nt
Organism: Lactuca sativa (garden lettuce)
Lineage: Eukaryota; Viridiplantae; Streptophyta; Magnoliopsida; Asterales; Asteraceae
Source: RefSeq, a predicted model, not a curated record